ACGCGUGCGCCCCGCAUCGCAUUUCAUUACGCGUGCGCGGAGUGUUCUUUCUUUUGCUGAAGUCGACGAGAAGGUCGCAAAGAUGCCUGUGAGUCGCCUCAGAAAAUUACGUUUUAUUCUGUUGUUUGACGAUUUGUUAGUGUAACUUUGAUAUAGAUGAACGUGUUGUGUUGUCGUUUAGUAUAAUGUGUGAAAUUUAGACGAAUUUCGGUUGUGUAUUUGUUUUUAUUCAAUUUUUGCCCGAACACGUUUGAACACAGAUUCUUGGUCACAUGGUGAAAUUUGUGACGAACUGGAUAUACAUAGAAUAACAGUUAUCUACGUUUUACAGAUUUUUCGUAUAUUAUAUAAUGUUUAGUGUUUUUUUUUAUUAUAGUUCUUCAGCGUAUAAAAUUAAUUAGUUUCAGUUUUGCUAAUCGGGUGCCAUUUUGCUGACGGUCAAUUUUGCACAAAAUGAUCAAAUCUAUAGCAAAAAUAGCUCGAUUUAAUACCUGCUAAGAUUUGUCAGACCAAUUCCAGGUUUAAUUCAAUAUCAAUGCUAUCUCUCGAUAUCAUGAUCCAAAUUUUACAAUGCUCAACAAAACCUGAAAUUAGCCUUACAAAUAUGUAGUAGGGGAUUGCUUUAUGUGCUCAUCAUCUACUAUUUUGCAACUUUAAAGUUUAAACCUUGGAAAGGGUGAAGAAAAUGAGUGCAUUCUAUAUCUGUCCGAUCAGUUUCAUUGCAGUCCAGAGGAUAAAUUGGGUCAUUCCACGAAAACAUUCCUCCCCCACAGAGGAAAUUGGAAGUUAACCCCCCCCCUAUCCUUUUCGGAUGUCCUAAUAUACUUACUAUUAUCAGAAACAAUUUGCCCCCCCCCCCCACUUCCCGACUGCAGAAAUUCCCUCCUUUGGGAGGGGGGGGGGGGAGUGUGGAUCUUUUUUGGAAUGACCCAUUGGCUACUUGCACUCUGCAAUUUGUGAAGCAUUUUGUAGAUUUUCUAAAGUAAAAUUCAUAUGAAAAGGGAAAAUGCAAAGCAAUUUGUAACAGUUACUGUAUGCUCUUCUGCCCUUCACUUGCUUUCACAUGUUUAAUUUGUUUUGCAAGCUCAAUAAAAUUUUGCUUUGUAUAUUGUUCCUCAUUAUAUUUUUAGUUUUUUUAUACUAAAAGGCUACAAUGCAAUAUUGUCAGUGUUUCCAGUUUACAACAUUGAACAUUUCUUUAAGUUGUAUAAAGAUGCAUGUACACACAACAAUUAACCGGGCCGAUUUCAGGUUUUGCCGAAUGUGAAUGACAAAUGUUGUCAGUUGACGAUGCUCUCAGAUGAUGUUGACAGCGUAUUCAAAUGUUGUGUAAAGCUGAAUUGGCCCGAUUAAUCAUUGUGCAUAAACAUACCUAAGAGUGACAUCAGCUAGCCAAUCCUUGAUGAAGAACUAAUUAUAUAAACCAAAGCUUUUCAGGAUAUUAGAACCAUUGGGAAAUUAUCGGUUAUUCAGUACAUGUCGGUUUCAACAGACAUAAAAUGUCUGUUAAUAAUUUGGAAUGUUCAUAAUAAUUUUAUAGUUAUACAAAGAUUUGCUUCACCCAACUGCGGAGGAAGAAAAAAGAAAACACAAAUUAAAAAGGCUUGUACAAUCGCCUAACUCGUACUUCAUGGAUGUGAAGUGCCCAGGUACCUAAUCAAAAUUUUCUUUUUGGUAAAGGGCUAUUUAUAUGAAAACUAAGCUAGCCUGGGCGGUAUCACCACUGGCCUCCGUACAAAUCCUGAAUAAGAAACCAUUGCCAUGUUGAAAGUAUCUUCAGGUUUUAUAGAGUGGAGCAGUGCAGUCCAAUGCAGUAUUUGACUUGUUUUUGCAGUUUAUCUGUAAACUUACCAAAAUUUCAUUAUUUUACAUACUUUUGAUUUGAUUUCCUAAUUAUAAGGCAUCAACCCCAGUGAAUAUAUCCACCUUUCAGCCCUCGAAAACCGUCAAAAUUGAGGUCGGCAAAAAAAUGCCGACAUAAAUCUGAUCUAGGUCGGCACGUCUCAGCAUUUUUUUAAAUCUUCUUCCAUGUCUUGGAGCACUAACUAUAAUUUUCUCACGUAUUUACGAAUCAUUGUUAUUAAAAGUAACACGGCAGCUUUUCUUUUGGAGUCUUACCUAAAUUAUAUAUAGAAUACCUGUCAAUUUUUAAACCUUCCAAGUGUGUUUAGUUAAUCGAACUACGAAUUCUAUAAUUGCUGACUUUUUAACAGCUAUCAGCACCAAAAAAAUUCUUACUUUGACUGAAUUAAGGUCGGCAAAAAUUUGCUGACCUGGGAGCUUGAUAGAUUGGCAUUGCCGAAUGCCGACCUAGUUUUUGAGGGCUGCACCCCUUUAUUAAAUAAGUAUGGUUCUAUCCGAGAAACUUUAGUGGGCAGGGAGAAAAAAUUGAUAAGAAAGCUUCAGAUUGAUGCAACUACCUGAAUAAUACAAGGAGACAGGGUUUGUACAAAACUUGAAAGUCCUUGAAUUUGAAAACAAAAAUUCAAGGCCUUGAAAGUCCUUGAGUUUAUAAAGAAGUGCUUGAAAGUCCUUAAAUUGUUCUUGCUUUAGUGGAUAUUUUCUGAAAUUGUUUGGCAUUAAGAAUUGGACAUUUUGUAAAUUGAUUUUGUUCAUGUCUAAAGGCGGAUUUCCAGUCCUCGCACGAACCAGCUCGCUGCGAGUGAUGCAUGAGCACUUUCAUCCAAUCACAAUGCUAAACAGUUCAUUUUAAUAUAGAUGCAAGCACUCGCAGCGAGCUGCGAGGAGCUUCAUGCGAGGACUGGAAAACCGCCUUUACAAAGGUCAAAGCUGUUUGAAAUUCAUUAAAAUUGCCAUUUGUAUAGUUUAAAUUCACUUACUGAUUUCUAACACCUUUUCAGCCCAUUAGUCCUUGAAUGUCUAGAUACAUGGACUUGAGAAAAGUCUUUGAAUUUAACUCUUCUAGAAACACAUUUGGGUAUUUGCAUCCCUAUCAAUCCAAAGCUUUCUUAUUUUUGCCACUAUCUACAUUGGCACAGACCAUUCAAGACAAAAAUUGAUGUUUAAUAUUUUCAAAUGUUUUAGGUUGCUAUAAGAUAACCACAGUAUUUAGUCAUGCCCAGACAGUUGUCCUGUGUGUCAGUUGCUCGACUGUUUUGUGUCAACCUACUGGAGGCAGAGCAAGAUUGACAGAAGGUG
Molecule: non-coding RNA, 3159 nt
Organism: Paramuricea clavata
Lineage: Eukaryota; Metazoa; Cnidaria; Anthozoa; Malacalcyonacea; Plexauridae
Source: the annotation of a GenBank genome assembly